Paramuricea clavata is the source of this 648-nucleotide non-coding RNA. The record is from the annotation of a GenBank genome assembly. Lineage: Eukaryota; Metazoa; Cnidaria; Anthozoa; Malacalcyonacea; Plexauridae.
UGCUCCCCCAGAAUAUUUUGAAAUCUAGAGUCCCUGAAAUGCGAUUUCCUGCAUUUUCGGGGUUUGAGUUUGCAUAAGUCCGAAGACUGUAUAAUGCAUAAAAGACAUGAUUUUUCGUGAUGGAAAAUGAUGGGUUAAAAUAAAGCGAAUUACUUUUAAAACCGAAUGAUGAUUGAAAGUAAAUAUAUUUUACAUUUAAAAACCCAAAGUAAACCCUUUCUUCUUGAGGCCAUAUAUGUACUUACUUAGACAAGAUUAUACACAAUUAUAUUGUGGAUUUGGAUUUUAUUUCACCCCCCCCUCCCCCCCGUUGACUAAAUCCUGUCCAGUAUCCCCAAGUUGAAGGUCCUCUCUACGCCCCUGGUUGUAAUUAAAGAGCACACAAGAAUAGGAUGGGAAGAACUACCAUACGGCCAUACUAUGUUCUUCUUAACUUUAAUGUUGGAGGAGGGUGAAAAAUUUUCAGACUGUUCUAAAGGGGUGGACUACAUUUUUAAACACAUUAAAAGGGAGGUCAUUUUUAUUAUGCUGUUUGAAUUUUAGAAUCCACCAGCUCCUCCCCCCCUCCCCAACCGAUAAAUAAUGAACCCUAAGUAUUUUAUAUUUCCCGGUGUACAAUUCACGUAUUAAAUUUGCAAAACACAUAGA